This 26-nucleotide small RNA is filed under the name Bombyx mori (domestic silkworm). Its description in RNAcentral is "ovarian small RNA-13394". The record is from RNAcentral. Lineage: Eukaryota; Metazoa; Arthropoda; Insecta; Lepidoptera; Bombycidae.
CAUCAAGGCAAUACACGUGUUUUACA